Molecule: ribosomal RNA, 467 nt
Filed under: uncultured bacterium
Lineage: Bacteria
Description: partial 16S ribosomal RNA
Rfam family: Bacterial small subunit ribosomal RNA
Source: RNAcentral
GACGAACGCUGGCGGCGUGCUUAACACAUGCAAGUCGAACGGAAAGGCCUCUUUCGGGGGGUACUCGAGUGGCGAACGGGUGAGUAACACGUGAGUAACCUGCCCCUGACUUUGGGAUAACUUCAGGAAACUGGGGCUAAUACCGGAUAGGAGCUCCUGCUGCAUGGUGGGGGUUGGAAAGUUUCGGCGGUUGGGGAUGGACUCGCGGCUUAUCAGCUUGUUGGUGGGGUAGUGGCUUACCAAGGCUUUGACGGGUAGCCGGCCUGAGAGGGUGACCGGCCACAUUGGGACUGAGAUACGGCCCAGACUCCUACGGGAGGCAGCAGUGGGGAAUAUUGCACAAUGGGUGGAAGCCUGAUGCAGCAACGCCGUGUGCGGGAUGACGGCCUUCGGGUUGUAAACCGCUUUCGCUCAUGACGAAGCUUUGUGUGACGGUAGUGGGUAAAGAAGCACCGGCUAACUACGUG